RNAcentral lists this ribosomal RNA (492 nucleotides) under uncultured bacterium. RNAcentral describes it as "partial 16S ribosomal RNA". It matches the Rfam family "Bacterial small subunit ribosomal RNA", at positions 29 to 507 of the family's 1533-position model. The record is from RNAcentral.
AGUGAACGCUGGCGGUAGGCCUAACACAUGCAAGUCGAACGGCAGCACAGUAAGAGCUUGCUCUUACGGGUGGCGAGUGGCGGACGGGUGAGGAAUACAUCGGAAUCUACUUUUUCGUGGGGGAUGACGUAGGGAAACUUACGCUAAUACCGCAUACGACCUACGGGUGAAAGCAGGGGAUCUUCGGACCUUGCGCGAUCGAAUGAGCCGAUGUCGGAUUAGCUAGUUGGCGGGGUAAAGGCCCACCAAGGCGACGAUCCGUAGCUGGUCUGAGAGGAUGAUCAGCCACACUGGAACUGAGACACGGUCCAGACUCCUACGGGAGGCAGCAGUGGGGAAUAUUGGACAAUGGGCGCAAGCCUGAUCCAGCCAUACCGCGUGGGUGAAGAAGGCCUUCGGGUUGUAAAGCCCUUUUGUUGGGAAAGAAAAGCAGCAGGUUAAUACCCCGCUGUUCUGACGGUACCCAAAGAAUAAGCACCGGCUAACUUCGUG